UGGGGAAUAUUGCACAAUGGGGGAAACCCUGAUGCAGCGACGCCGCGUGAACGAAGAAGGUAUUCGUAUCGUAAAGUUCUGUCCUAUGGGAAGAUAAUGACAGUACCAUAGAAGAAAGCUCCGGCUAAAUACGUGCCAGCAGCCGCGGUAAUACGUAUGGAGCGAGCGUUGUCCGUAAUUAUUGGGCGUAAAGGGUACGCAGGCGGUUUAAUAAGUCGAAUGUUAAAGAUCGGGGCUCAACCCCGCAAAGCAUUAGAAACUGAUAAACUUGAGUAGUGGAGAGGAAAGUGGAAUUCCUAGUGUAGUGGUGAAAUACGUAGAUAUUAGGAGGAAUACCAGUAGCGAAGGCGACUUUCUGGACACAAACUGACGCUGAGGUACGAAAGCGUGGGGAGCAAACAGG
Molecule: ribosomal RNA, 403 nt
Filed under: bacterium
Lineage: Bacteria
Description: partial 16S ribosomal RNA
Rfam family: Bacterial small subunit ribosomal RNA
Source: RNAcentral